AUAAACAUUUUUUAGCUCAACUCUAAAUUGGAUUCCUGUAUAAUAAGCUAAAAGUAUUUUUCUUCUAAUUAUAUAAACUAAUAAAUAAAAACUAUUUCUUUCAUCACUGAACACUGAAGAACACUCAAAGAGUUAUUGCAAUUCAACUCUAGUCAAGAACAAUCAAUGGAGCCAACAAAUGUAGCAGUCUUUGAAAACCAGCAAGUCUCUGCUGACCCUUUGCCUUUUGCAAGAAGUUAUCAGUUGGAAGCCCUUGAGAUUGCAUUAAAGCAGAACACAAUUGUUUACUUGGAGACUGGUUCUGGAAAGACCUUGAUUGCUAUUAUGCUUCUUAGAAGCUAUGCUUACCUUCUUCGAAAACCGUCUCCUUACAUAGCUGUUUUCUUGGUUCCGACUGUUGUUCUAGUGACUCAGCAAGGAGAUGCUCUGAUGUUGCAUACCGACUUAAAAGUGGGCAAAUAUUGGGGAGAAAAGGGUGUUGAUUACUGGAAUGCUUCUACGUGGCAACAACUAGUGGACGAUCAUGAGGUACUUGUUAUGACACCAGCAAUAUUACAUGCUGCUUUGAGGCACCAUUUUUUACAAAUGGGCAUGAUAAAAGUUAUAAUAUUUGACGAGUGUCACAAUGCACGAGGCAAGCACCCCUAUGCCAGUAUAAUGAUGGAAUUUUAUCAUCGCCAGUUAACCCGUGAGAAUGCACAACUUCCAAGAAUAUUUGGGAUGACUGCUUCCCCUAUAAAGUCUAAAGGUUCCAGCACGGCAGAUAGUUAUUGGCAAAAGAUUCGUGACCUCGAGAAUCUCAUGCAUUGCAAGGUAUACACGUGUAGCAGUGAAUCUGUUCUGGCAGAUUAUAUCCCAUUUUCAAAUCCGAAGCUGAAAAUAUAUGAACAUGUGGAUAUUCCUUCCAAAUUGUUUCAUACAUUAGUUCAUGACCUGGAAAGGUUGAAAGAAAAGCAUGAAUGUUUGAUUUCACAGUCAAAUCUGUCUUUUAUGAGAUAUGGAUCUGCAAGAGGACGUUUAUCAAAACUUCAUUCGGAUUUCUUAUUUUGUUUGAGUGAGAUGGGUGCUUGGCUGGCUUUCAGGUCCUGUGAAGAAAAUGAUUUCCUUUCAUCGGACGAUGCAUGUGUUAGAGAUUUCUGUUUGGGUGCAUCUACGAUUUUCUCGGCUCACUUACCUUCUGGACCACAUUGGUCAAUUGGAGAGGAUAUUCAGGCAAAUGUGGAUGCUGGAUAUUUGUCAUCCAAAGUUAAUUGUCUUCUAGAGUCUCUUCUCGAGUACAGGGACCGGAAGGAUUUGAGAUGCAUCAUAUUUGUUGAGAGAAUUAUUACAGCCAUUGUUCUUCGGUCUCUAUUGAAUGAGUUGUUUCUGGAACGAAGUGGUUGGAGAACUGAGGUCACAACAGGGCGUAUUACUACGUUCAAACAAAAUAAAAUUGUUGAAGAAUUUCGAAAGGGGUUGGUGAACAUUAUUGUAGCGACAUCGAUUCUUGAAGAGGGCUUGGAUGUUCGAAGUUGCAACCUUGUCAUUAGAUUUGAUCCCCCAACUACUGUUUGUAGCUUUAUACAAUCACGUGGAAGAGCUCGAAUGCAAAACUCCGACUUUCUUCUGAUGGUCAGGAAAGGAGAUGAUGCAACCCUUACUCGCAUGCAAAACUAUAAAGCUAGUGUGGAGAUAAUGCGGCAAGAAUCAUUACGCCAUGCUUCUAUUCCGUGUUCAACUCUACAUGAUGAAUUGUAUGAUGAAUGCUACAAAGUUGAAAGCACAGGAGCAGUUGUCACCCUCAGUUCUAGCGUGUCAUUGUUAGACUUCUAUUGCUCAAGGCUACCGUCGGAUGGGUACUUUAAACCCGAUCCUACAUAUGUGAUUAAUGAGGAAACAGAAACCUGCACGCUACAACUUCCCAAAAGCUCGCCACUGCAAGGAAUUAUUAGUGUACAGGCCACAGGGUAAGAGAAAAAUAUUGAAGCAACUUGCAUGCCUUGAAGCUUGUAAAGAACUUCAUCGUGUGGGUGCCUUGACUGACAAUCUUGUUCCUGAUAUCGUGGAGGAAGAAACCAUCAACAAAGAAUUGGAAUGUAAAAUAAAAAUUGUUGAACAAUCAUUAUACUAUCCAUCAGAAUUUGUUAGUCAUUGCGGGAAUGAGUCAGAAGCAGUGUACUACUGCUACCUAGUUGAGUUGCGACAUGACUCUUACAACGAUUCCCAGCUUCAUGGGAUUAUACUUGCUGUUAGGACAAAGCUCAAGUUUGAUGAUGAAAUAUUGGCAUUUGACUUGGAUGUUGAUAGGAGGGGACGCUUGAAAGUUCAACUUAAUUAUAGUAAAGUUGUUAUAUUUACUUCUGAAGAGAUUCGACGGUGUCAAAGAUUUCAAGUGAGUGUCUUCAGAAUUCUUCGUGACCCCGAUCUAAGUAAACUGCAGGAAGUUUUGGCUGCUGUUCAAUCACCUAUUGGUUCUGCAGUAUCCGAUUAUCUGUUGCUCCCAUCUGUGGGUACACCCCCCGAAAUAAAUUGGCAAUGUGUGAAUUCUUUGCUGUUUCCGUCUCAAGUUCUUGGGGAUAAGCAUAUGGAUUGGUGUUCUACUCAAGGUCGCAGACGCUGUGUGAACACCAUAAGUGAGGUGGUAUGUAGCUGCAUGUUGGAGAACUCAUUGGUAUGUACACCUCAUAAUGGACGUAUAUACUGCAUAAACGGUUUUUUGGAGAAUUUGGAUUGCAACUCAUUAAGGGAUGUGAGAAGUGAAGAAUCUAUUACCUACAGAGAACACUACAGAAAGCGGUAUGGGAUCAACAUAUGCUUUGAAGAAGUACCACUUCUUAGGGGAAAACAUAUUUCUAAGGAAGCUAAAGAUUCAUCUGUUGCAUUGCCUCCUGAACUUUGUUCCCUCAUCAUGUCACCUCUCUUUAUAUCUACCCUUAAUACCUAUUCAUAUGUUCCUUCGAUUAUGCAUCAGAUUGAGUCCUUGAUUAUGGCCUCAAACUUGAAAAAAAUGCAUUUGGAUCACUGCACACAAAAUGUUGUUAUUCCAACUGCUAAGAUUUUGGAAGCAAUGACAACGAAGAAUUGUCUCGAGAAGUUUCAUUUGGAAUCACUUGAGACACUUGGAGACUCUUUUCUCAAAUAUGCUGCCAGUAUAAAGCUGUUCAAGACUUAUGAAAAUGAUCAUCAAGGUCUUCUCACCGUUAAGAGAAAACAAAUCAUUUCCAACGCUACACUAUGCAGGCUUGGAUGUGCUCGUAAAAUGCCGGGAUUUAUCCGUAAUGAACCAUUCGUUCUUAAAACAUGGAUUAUUCCUGGUGAUAAUUCUCAAGUUCACAGCUUCGACGAAGAGCUACUAACGUCCUCAGUUAAAAUGUAUAGUAGGGGAAAACAGAAGAUUAAAAGUAAGAGAGUAGCUGAUGUGGUCGAGGCACUAAUAGGUGCCUACCUCAGCUCGGGUGGGGAAGUAGCGGCUUUGUCAUUUAUGAAAUGGCUUGGAGUGGACAUCAAUUUUGUUGAUGCACCUACGUCAAGGCACUUUCCCGUGAAUGCAGAGAAGCUAGUUAACGUCAGAUACUUGGAAUCCCUGCUACAUUACAAGUUCAAUGAUCCUUCUCUGCUUGUUGAAGCGCUAAGUCAUGGAUCUUGCAUGCUACCUGAUAUUCCACGAUGCUAUAAGCGAUUGGAAUUUCUUGGAGAUGCAGUGCUAGAUUACGUUGUUACAACACAUCUCUAUUUCAAAUAUCUGGGACUAACUCCAGGACUUAUUACUGAUUUGAGGUCUGCCUCCGUAAACAAUGAAUGUUAUGCUCUAUCUGCAGUUAAGGCUGGCCUGCACGAUCACAUUCUUUAUGACCCGCUAGUUCUGCAAAGGCAUAUAUCUAGUACUGUCGAGAAUUUCAAGAAAUUGAACCUUGGCUGAAACUACUUACCCGAAGGUGCUUGCAGAUGUUAUCGAGUCCCUUGCUGGUGCAAUCUUUGUUGAUUCUGGUUUCAACCAAGACACUACAUUUCAGUGCAUACGACCUCUUUUGGAACCGUUGAUUACACCUCAGACGCUAAAACUCCAUCCAGCAAGAGAGUUACGCGAACUAUGUCACCAGAAAGGUUAUAUAAAGAAGAAGAAUGACGUCUUUCGUGAGAAUGGUAUUGUAUCUAUUACAGUAGAGGUUGAAGCUAAUGGUGUUAUUCACAAGGACUCGAACUCGGGACGAAACAGAAAAAUGGCUGAGAAGGUGGCUAGCAAAUAUGUGCUCAAGUCUCUCAAAGAAUAUCCAUCAGUAUAGUUGUUUCUUCUGCUACUUCAGUUGACUAAACUCUUAAGAGAUUUGGUUUGAUUCUCACUAUCGUAAAUGGUAUGCAGAUAUUCUCCGUCAUAUUUCUGGGAUAUUGGUGCCUUUUCCGUCCCAAAUCUAGAGCAUAUAUACCUUUAUCUUCACUCUAACGGAUGACUGAAUAGGAGCACAUGGCACAAUCUUAUUCGUCGAUUUGAUAUUUAAUAAGAGUCGAAUCGGCUGAUAAGAUUAUGACACGUGUAUGUCCGUUAGCAUAAAGAAUAUAGAUGCUUUAGUUUUUAGAUGAUCCAAAAGUAUGAUGAAAAGAAUAUAUGAAUACCAUUUAUGAUAGUUUAGGAAUAUAUUGUCUUUUUCCCCCUGAAUGUACUAUUGUAAUUGUUAUUGAUAAAAAUGCUCAUUUUAUGUACCAAUAGUUUUAUUGUAA
Molecule: RNA transcript, 4695 nt
Organism: Solanum pennellii
Lineage: Eukaryota; Viridiplantae; Streptophyta; Magnoliopsida; Solanales; Solanaceae
Gene name: endoribonuclease Dicer homolog 2-like
Exons: 23
Source: RefSeq, a predicted model, not a curated record